RNAcentral lists this ribosomal RNA (590 nucleotides) under uncultured crenarchaeote. RNAcentral describes it as "bacterial SSU rRNA". It matches the Rfam family "Archaeal small subunit ribosomal RNA", at positions 851 to 1441 of the family's 1478-position model. RNAcentral also lists the same sequence under 1 other name. The record is from RNAcentral. Lineage: Archaea; Thermoproteati; Thermoproteota.
GAAACUUAAAGGAAUUGGCGGGGGAGCACCACAAGGCGUGGAGUCUGCGGUUUAAUUGGAUACAACGCCGGGCAACUCACCAGGGACGACGGCAGUAUGACGGCCAGGCUGAAGGUCUUGCCUGACGAGCCGAGAGGUAGUGCAUGGCCGUCGUCAGCUCGUACCGUGAGGCGUGCGGUUAAGUCCGUUAACGAGCGAGACCCGUGCCCUUAUUUGCUACCGUUUUUCUUCGGAAGGGCGGGCACAAUAGGGGGACCGCUGGCGAUGAGUCAGAGGAAGGUGCGGGCGACGGUAGGUCAGUAUGCUCCGAAUUUCCUGGGCUACACGUGGACUACAAUGGCGUACACAAUGGGUCGCGACACCGAAAGGUGCGAGCUAAUCCUCAAAGUGCGUCUUAGUUCGGAUCGAGGGUUGUAACUCACCCUCGUGAAGCUGAAAUGCCUAGUAAUCGCUUGUCACCAUCAAGCGGUGAAUGUGUCCCCGCUCCUUGCACACACCGCCCGUCAAACCAACCGAGUGAAUUUAGGGUGAGGCGCAACCCUUCGGAUGUGUCGAAUCCUAUUUUCGCAAGGGGGGUUAAGUCGUAACAA